Long non-coding RNA from Mauremys reevesii (Reeves's turtle), 3961 nucleotides. RefSeq lists it as uncharacterized. The record is from RefSeq and is a predicted model, not a curated record. The transcript has 2 exons. Lineage: Eukaryota; Metazoa; Chordata; Testudines; Geoemydidae.
GGAGAGGUCCCUGAAGGAAGGCUGAAAGCAGGAGUGUAGCAGAGCUCUUUACUGGCUGAUCUCCCCAAGCUGCAGAGCAAUGGCUGAAGAUAGGAGAGCAGCAGAGGGAGUUGCCAGCUGAUUUCUGAGCUGGAGUUGGAGGCUGGAGAGCAGAAAAGGGACUUAUCUGCUGGCCUGCAUGAGGGGCAUCCUACUACGUUUUGCACUGCCUUUCAAGAGCCCUGCUAACAGGGCCGGCACCAGAGCAGCAAGCAGGUGCUUGGGGCGGCCAACGGAAAGGGGCGGCACGUCCAGCUCUUCGGCGGCAGUUUGGCGAGUCCCUCAGUUCCUCUCGGAGGGAAGGACCUACUGCCGAAUUGCGGCCGAAGAAGCGGCGGCGGUAGAGCUGCCACCGAUCGUGGCUUUUUUUCCCCCACUGCUUGGGGUGGCAAAAACGCUGGAGCAGGCCCUGGCCCUGCCUGCUAACCUGUGGGUCCACCAUCUCUGUGACAAGCAUGAAUCCUGCACUGCUCUUCAAUAGUGCACUGAGUUUAUGAGCACAACAUGCCUGAUCCUGCAGUAUUUCUUGAGCUGCAAAUAUGACGAUGACGCCUUGCUGGCUGCCUUACUGUACGCCAUGGAAAAAACAAUUAAAGAUUGCUGUUGGCAUUCACAGAGCAACUGCACACAGUGGACUGCAGGUUCUGGUCCUGAGAAACAAGCAAUGACUUGUGGGACUGCAUUAUUGUGCAGGUAUGAUGAGCGGUGGCUGCAGAACUUCUGGAUGCGCAAGGCCACAUUCCUGUGGCCCAGCCCUCUGAUGCAGCUAUACGAAAAUGAGAGCUGCACUCAUGGUGGAGAAGCAAGUGGUAAUCACUGUGUGGAAGCUGGCAACACCAGAUUGCUACUGAUCAGUAGCAAGGAAUCAGUUUGGAGUUGAUAAAUCCACUAUGGGGGUUGCUGUGAUGAAAGUGUGCAGGGCCAUUAAUUGCAUUCUGCUACAACGGACUGUGACUCUAGGCAAUGUGCAGGAAAUAGCAGAUGUUUUCUCAUGGAGACAUUACUUUUUUCCCCACUCAUUUUUCAUUAAUUUGAAAUCGAUGCAGAGGCUGAAAACACACGGCUACUCUUUGUGUAACCCUUGGCCAGUUGCUGGUAGUGAAAACAGCCAAGUUCAAUUUUCUAGGGGUUUCCUUACAGACUUAACUAGCACUAGCUCAUGAAACCUGGGAAACUGUACACACCAUCCUGGGCACCCUGAUGUGCAAUUCCUUUCCCUUUGCAAACACUGAAUCAGGGGUUACAACGCAGAGAAUUUAUUUUUGGAGGGUGGGUAGUGAGAGAAGGAGGAAAACAGCAGCAUGAAUUUGGGAAGACCAGCAAUUAACAUUCUAUGAUGUCAGACUCCCUUUCCCCCCAUGCUGUCCCAACCUCAGUCCUCUUUUGGCCACUGAGAGUGGCUCAUGUGUUUUGGCCACUUCCCUUCUCCCCACUCAUGGUUAGCUAUCCUCAGCUGGAGAAGCCCCAGGCUUCAGUGCUGCCUGGGUUGCUGUGCAGGUUCUACUACCCACCCUAGCAGGGGUGAUUCAGUUUUAAUUGCUGGGUAGGGCAGCCCACACCACAGUCCUGGGAUAGGCUGCUGCGCUCGCUCGCGCUCUCUCUCUCUCUCUCUCUCUCUCUGUGUGGCUUCAGCCCAAACUGCCUAGUUCUGCCACUGUUCUGAGCCACCUGUCCCCUUGACACCACCAUCGCUCCAAACCGGCCAUCUCCUUGAAAUCACCACCACCACCACCACCCUGAGCAGCCUGAAAGCUACUGCUAGUGAUGCUCUGUGCCACUCAUUGCCACCAAGCUGCCGCUAUGGUCUCAAAGCUGCCACCACUCUGCACUGGCCAGCAUGCUCAGCUCCUUGGGAGGAAUCAGUGGUAUUUAUGACCACUGGCAGAAUCCUUAUCACUAGAGAGAUAAUCCAACUCACAGACAGGAAUUUUUUCUCCUUUUUUUUUUUUUCCGGGGUGCUGUGUCUGGGCUUCCUUAACCAGCGGCACCUGACAACAGUGUGUCAGCUGACCCCAGGCUCAUUUGCUGUUGAUGUUUUGUCCUUGUAUUUCCGAACAAGGUCAAUUGCAUUUCAUGGCCCCAAAUACAAACCAUAACUGAAUUUUAACCAAGAUGCCCCAAACUGUCACAAAACUGAAGUACAAAUGAGGCCUGGCCCACCCAGUCAAACUCUUUUUGGUCUCCAACAGAUGCAUGCAGCUCUUAAACAGCUCUCUUCUCUCAUGUCACCAGCAGAGGGCAGCAGUGAGCUCCUUUCGCUCCGGCCCCACAGGGUUCUCAUUUGUGUAUCAUGGAAAAUUCCUAAUGAAAAUUUUCCUUACAAUAAAUUUUAAGUCUCCUGUUUCACGUACUCAAAUGGCAUCUGCGACCUGUGCGUCCUAAGCUAUAUCACCACACUGUCAAGAUGCCUUCAACUUACUCUUGUUUGUUAUAUUUUGGAUAAUAUUUUUAGUGAUUUAGAGCUAGAUUUUUAAAGACCAAACCACCUCUCUUUUUCAUGAGCAUAUUGCAAGCACAAUGGGCAUUUCUACAUCGAAAUGAAAUAAUUCUGCAGGUGCAAAAAGUGAAGACCUUGUUAUGCUGGGAUUGAAAAAUCAGGCCAUUAAUCUUUGUACUCAGAUAUAAUUAUAGACUCUGUUUAAUACAUUUCAGUUUCCCUUCAGACUAGUUUUAUGCUGAAUGAGCACACUCAUCACAGUAUGAAUACGUAUUAUAAUGGGUUAUGGUAAAAAAUCCCUUUUCCACUAUAACAAUUGAGAGAUUCUUUAAUGACUUAUGAUUCAAUGUGGAACAGGAAACGUUGGGAGCACAGUCACUGAGGAAGAGAAGUGUAUAUUCCAACUGAAGAGAUGAUAAAGGAGAUAAAAUGGGCAUUUUGAUUUUGAGGCUAAGAAUCCUAUAGAUUUAUUUAGAAGAGCAAGUUAAAUAAUACCUUCUACAAAAGCAUAACACAUCUAACAGAAGCAGGCUAAAUACUGAAAAAUCAUUUUAUUUUUCAAUGGUAAAGAAAUGAGAGAAGACUCAUAGAUCUUGGUGACAAGCGCAUAGUGAUAACUAUAAAAGAUCUUAUUGGAAUGGAUAUCUCCACAUUCAAGUGACUGGCUUUAAUCCAAGUCUUUAUUUCUAAGUCUUAAAAAUGAUGUGUGUCUAAACAUCAUAAAAAGGUUUGUUUUGUUUUGCUUGUUUUUUAGUGGAAAUUGCUGUAACUAAGCUCAGUUAUUAUUGGAAUUUGGAAGGGAACAUUUAUCACUACUAAACAGGAUGGCUUUUAUUUACAGUUCUUAAAAAAAAGUAUCAGGCAUUGAAAAUUUUAAACUUGUAACCAAUCAGCAACAUUAUUAGCUCAGAAAAUACGAAAGAGAAACCCCUCUCAGCCACUCUAUCUUUCGUCUUAUAAAUACACUGUAGAAAUUUUAUGUAGUGCAUGGAAAGCCAGACACAUGAGUGUCUAACCAUCUCCGUUCAUUCAGUAUUUGAUUUUUGGCACUGUGCUUCAGUGCGUAGCAUAUUAAAUGAACAAUGGAAACAUGCAAAAAACUUUCCUAAACCCCAUGUUGGUCUACAAUGUAGUAAAAGAGCAUGUAUAAAAUAGUAAGAAAUAUUUAUGCAUUUAAUACAUACUGUACACGUGUGGAAUAACUAGCGACUUAAUGCUGAAGCAUUUUCCAUCACACACAGAUUAUUUGGGGCUACCGUGGCCUGCCUGCUUUGAAAGCAAGAUUAUUUUCUUCUAAGAAAAGUGAAUGAUUUAAGAUUUACAUUUGCAUGGGGUAGCAGAAGGUUAUUUUCGCUGACAAAAAUGAGGUAUGUUAUAUAAUAUACUGUCUUCAGAGUCCAUAUAUUCAUAUCAACCUAUAAUUGUCAUUCUUAGCAAGUGAAAGAAAAAAAAUUAAACUCAAAACUAGGUUCUUUGUACUGUUUA